Molecule: ribosomal RNA, 253 nt
Filed under: uncultured bacterium
Lineage: Bacteria
Description: partial 16S ribosomal RNA
Rfam family: Bacterial small subunit ribosomal RNA
Source: RNAcentral
UACGUAGGGGACUAGCGUUGUCCGGAUUUAUUGGGCGUAAAGAGCGUGUAGGCGGCCAGGUAGGUCUGCUGUGAAAACUCGAGGCUUAACCUCGAGCUGUCGGCGGAAACCAUCUGGCUAGAGUCCGGAAGAGGAGAAUGGAAUUCCCGGUGUAGCGGUGAAAUGCGCAGAUAUCGGGAAGAACACCCGUGGCGAAGGCGGUUCUCUGGGACGGUACUGACGCUGAGACGCGAAAGCGUGGGGAGCGAACAGG